This is a long non-coding RNA of Engraulis encrasicolus (European anchovy), 1364 nucleotides long. RefSeq lists it as uncharacterized. The record is from RefSeq and is a predicted model, not a curated record. The transcript is spliced from 4 exons. Lineage: Eukaryota; Metazoa; Chordata; Actinopteri; Clupeiformes; Engraulidae.
UCUGGGUAUGUUGGUUUUCAGUGCUGGGCAGUAGCGAAGCGACUAGUUUAAUUACAUUCCCUAGUAGCUUGGUCGUAGCGUCAUUACUAUGUAUCGACUAACGUCCCUGUAGUUAGGAAAUAAAUAGUUUGGAAAUCAAUGUGAAAUACCCUGGCAUUUGCAACAGUAGGCAACCUGUCCUUAAAAAGUAUGGGCCCUCAAAACAGCACUUGUUGCACAAAUAAGUGUUGCAUAGAGCAGUCUUUCCCAACCAGGGGUACGUGUACCACUAGGGGUACGCGAGCACCCUGCAGGGGGUACUUGGAAAAAUGAAAACAUGUAUGGAGCAUAGUCACAUUGGGAUAUAAAGCAUGAGUCAGGGGGUACUUGUGGUAUGAGAAAAGGCUUAGGGGGUACUUAAGACAAAAAAAGGUUGGGAAACACUGGCAUAGAGCACGCCACCCCGAAAUCAAUGUGAAAUACCCUGGCAUUUGCAACAGUAGGCAGCAUGUCCUUAAAACGUAUGGGUCCUCAAAACAGCACUUGUUGCACAAAUAAGUGUAGCUGGCCUCUUCAAGAAAUUGAAAUUAUGCAUGGUCACUUUUUCUUAUUGUUUCACGUGGAGGUCUACUGACAUUGUCUAAAUAAUGUAGGCUAGUUUAUGUCCAUGUAUUAUAUUAGGACCCAAGGUUAAUGGGUUAUUCUGUUUACCAUGUUUUCACAGGCUGCUGUCUCAUAAUAUGGCGAAGACGAGUCACUUGAAGGCCUAACAGCUCUUAUGAGGAGCAGUCUUGCCAUAGAAGACUGAAAGAAUGUAAGAUUAACUUCUUUGUGACCAAUAUGACUUGCUCAUUGAUACAUUAGCUAUGUCAAUAUGAGAUGCAUGGCGAAGUAUUUAAUUUAUUUGUCUCUCUUCUAGGAGCUGUAGAAACAACAGGGUGCCUGCUGCAGUAUGACGAGGACGCCCUGAUCAUAGAAGGUCCAGUGUCUUGGCAGGGUGAAAUGGCACUGAUAUCGUGUCCUGCAGGAUGCUGUGUCCUGCAAUCCUGUGUGCUGUGCUACAGACGCGUGUGGAGGUCAACCCGAAAUGGGCACAGUAGCGUGAAAGAGGAUCCUGGCAGGGAGACGGUAGUGUCCUGCAGGAUGGUGAUGGGCAAUCUUACAAGAGACCACAGAAAACUGAUAUAGUCUCCCAGAAGUGAGACUGAGUGCCUGUUGCAGUAUGACGAGGAAGCAGUGACCAGAGACCUUCAGUAGACCCUGCUGGCAUGAUUGGCGGCUGAAGAACAUAAUCAACAGCAAUGUUUAUAAUAUUGUACAUACCUGUAUAGUCUGCACUAAAAUGCUGUACCUGUACUAUUUUUCCUCUUACUUUCAUAUUUACU